UACGGAAGGCAGCAGUGGGGAAUAUUGCACAAUGGGCGAAAGCCUGAUGCAGCUAUGCCGCGUGUAUGAAGAAGGCCUUAGGGUUGUAAAGUACUUUCAUCGGGGAGGAAAAAACAAAACUAAUAAUUUUAUUUCUUGACGUUACCCGAAAAAGAAGCACCGGCUAACUCCGUGCCAGCAGCCGCGGUAAUACGGAGGGUGCUAGCGUUAAUCAGAAUUACUGGGCGUAAAGAGCACGUAGGUGGUUUUUUUAAGUCAGAUGUGAAAUCCCUGGGCUUAACCUGGAACUGCAUUUUGAAACUGAAAUACUAGAGUAUCGUAGAGGGAGGUAGAAUUCUAGGUGUAGCGGUGAAAUGCGUAGAUAUCUGGAGGAAUACCUGUGGCGAAAGCGGCCUCCUAAACGAAUACUGACACUGAGGUGCGAAAGCGUGGGGAGCAAACAGGGAUUAGAUA
Molecule: ribosomal RNA, 453 nt
Filed under: uncultured bacterium
Lineage: Bacteria
Description: bacterial SSU rRNA
Rfam family: Bacterial small subunit ribosomal RNA
Source: RNAcentral